CGUGCAGGCGGUGGGACAAGUUAACUGUGAAAGCGCCCGGCUCAACCGGGCGAGGACAGUUAAGACUGUUCGACUAGAGGCAGGUAGAGGUGUGUGGAAUUCCGGGUGUAGUGGUGAAAUGCGUAGAGAUCCGGAGGAACACCAGUGGCGAAGGCGACACACUGGGCCUGGCCUGACGCUCAGACGCGAAAGCAUGGGGAGCGAACGG
This 208-nucleotide ribosomal RNA is filed under the name uncultured bacterium. Its description in RNAcentral is "partial 16S ribosomal RNA". It matches the Rfam family "Bacterial small subunit ribosomal RNA", at positions 568 to 775 of the family's 1533-position model. The record is from RNAcentral.